GCGCGGAGCCGGCGGAGCUGAGCGCGGUCAGGGGCUGAACCCCGCUUUCCCGGACGGACUACCACUCGGCUUGCCCGAGUCCCGGGACAUAACCGGGCCGGUCAGUGAGCCACCCGACCGCUCCGACCGCGGCGCUUCUGGCCCGCGAGGCGUGAGAGUGUCUCGGCUACCGACCCAGAGGUGGUGGCUUCUACUACCCCAGGGCAGCUGGAGGAAGAACAGAGUCCCCGCCCGGGCCGAGUGAUGGCAGCGAGGAGAGGCAGAGACUGCCAGGGGCAGGCGACGCCCUGCCCCUCCGCGUUCCUGGGAGGCCUGACAGACACUCGGAGCUCCAGCUGGAUAGAGUGGGGGAGCC
Molecule: long non-coding RNA, 355 nt
Filed under: Cervus hanglu yarkandensis (Yarkand deer)
Lineage: Eukaryota; Metazoa; Chordata; Mammalia; Artiodactyla; Cervidae
Description: lncRNA (ENSCHYG00000007296.1)
Source: RNAcentral